RNAcentral lists this long non-coding RNA (623 nucleotides) under Homo sapiens (human). RNAcentral describes it as "non-protein coding lnc-DDX5-4:1". Lineage: Eukaryota; Metazoa; Chordata; Mammalia; Primates; Hominidae. The record is from RNAcentral.
AAUGCCAUUCUACAGAUACUGUGAAGAAUACGCUUGAUCCAAAGUGGAAUCAGCAUUAUGACCUGUAUAUUGGAAAGUCUGAUUCAGUUACGAUCAGUGUAUGGAAUCACAAGAAGAUCCAUAAGAAACAAGGUGCUGGAUUUCUCGGUUGUGUUCGUCUUCUUUCCAAUGCCAUCAACCGCCUCAAAGACACUGGUUGUGAGUAGAUACGAGUGCUUUUCCAAUUAAAAAACAUAUAUGUGUGUGUGUGUAUAUGUAUUUGUGCAUAUACAUAUAUACAUGCACUAUAUAUGUAUCCUCAAAUAUAUAUUUAAAAAUAAUAUAUAUAUUUGAGUAUGUUGGUAGGGCUUCAAACACAACUUCUUGUGCAUGUCUGAAACAUUGGUAAAAAUUCCUGAUCUAAAUUUAUUUUGUAGACUUAAAAAAAAAAGAAACAUUUUAAAUAUGUGAAACUUACAGCCAAAUCAGGGCUGAUGCUUCAUUUCCAGCUAAUUUAAAAGUAUUAAGAAAUGAUUGAUAUCCAGAAUGGCAAAAAUAAAGGUAUCAGGAUGUAUAUGCCUUUUAAAAUUUCUUAGUAUCCUUUUCUGGUUUUGGUGGAUUUGUGGAUGAAAUGCUUUUAUUUA